GGGCGGAUGGUUUAGUGGUAUAAUUUUCCCUUAGCAUAAUUUGACCUUCGAGUCAGAGAUGAUCGCUUGGGAAAGGUCCGGGGUUCGAUUCCCCGUUCGUCCA
Trichoderma citrinoviride is the source of this 103-nucleotide non-coding RNA. NCBI's taxonomy places the organism in Eukaryota, Fungi, Ascomycota, Sordariomycetes, Hypocreales, Hypocreaceae. The record is from the annotation of a RefSeq genome assembly.